RNAcentral lists this ribosomal RNA (433 nucleotides) under uncultured bacterium. RNAcentral's name for it is "partial 16S ribosomal RNA". It matches the Rfam family "Bacterial small subunit ribosomal RNA", at positions 29 to 507 of the family's 1533-position model. The record is from RNAcentral.
AACGAACGCUGGCGGCAGGCCUAACACAUGCAAGUCGAGCGCGCCCUUCGGGGUUAGCGGCGGACGGGUGAGUAACGCGUGGGAACGUGCCCUUCUCUGCGGAAUAGCCUCGGGAAACUGAGAGUAAUACCGCAUACGCCCUUUGGGGGAAAGAUUUAUCGGAGAAGGAUCGGCCCGCGUUGGAUUAGGUAGUUGGUGGGGUAAUGGCCCACCAAGCCGACGAUCCAUAGCUGGUUUGAGAGGAUGAUCAGACACACUGGGACUGAGACACGGCCCAGACUCCUACGGGAGGCAGCAGUGGGGAAUCUUAGACAAUGGGGGCAACCCUGAUCUAGCCAUGCCGCGUGAGUGAUGAAGGCCUUAGGGUUGUAAAGCUCUUUCAGCUGGGAAGAUAAUGACGGUACCAGCAGAAGAAGCCCCGGCUAACUCCGUG